ACGGAGGGUGCAAGCAUUAAUCGGAAUUAUUGGGCGUAAAGGGCGCGUAGGCGGAAAUGUAAGUCAGAUGUGAAAUUCCGAAGCUCAACUUCGGAGCUGCAUUUGAAACUACAAUUCUAGAGGGUUGACGGAGAAAACGGAAUUCCACGUGUAGCGGUGAAAUGCGUAGAUAUGUGGAAGAACACCGGUGGCGAAAGCGGUUUUCUAGUUAAUACCUGACGCUGAGGCGCGAGAGCAAGGGGAGCAAACAGG
Molecule: ribosomal RNA, 252 nt
Filed under: uncultured bacterium
Lineage: Bacteria
Description: partial 16S ribosomal RNA
Rfam family: Bacterial small subunit ribosomal RNA
Source: RNAcentral